GCUGGGUAGGUGGUGUGCAACUGCUGUCCCAACUACUCAAGAGGCUGAGACAGGGGGAUUCUUUGAGCCCAGGAAUUAUGGGCUAUAGUACACUAAGUUCAGCAUAAAUAGGGUGACCUUCCAGGAACAGGGGAACACCUAAAGUGAGGUGAAUCAGCCAAGGUCACAAACAAAGCAGGCCAAAACUCCGGUGCUAACCAGUAGCACGAUCAUGCCAACGAUCAUGGUUACUGCACUCCAGCCUGGGCAACAUAGGGAGACUCUAUAUCU
RNAcentral lists this signal recognition particle RNA (270 nucleotides) under Carlito syrichta (Philippine tarsier). RNAcentral's name for it is "Metazoan signal recognition particle RNA (ENSTSYG00000034319.1)". It matches the Rfam family "Metazoan signal recognition particle RNA". Rfam says of the family: The signal recognition particle (SRP) is a universally conserved ribonucleoprotein. It is involved in the co-translational targeting of proteins to membranes. The record is from RNAcentral. Lineage: Eukaryota; Metazoa; Chordata; Mammalia; Primates; Tarsiidae.